ACUUAGAACAAAAGUAUGCCCUGUCUAAGAGGUGGAGAGGAUCAAAAGAAACAACAAUAAAAUUUUGAAGACAUUUAUCAACGGUCCACCAUAAAAACAAGUUACAAUAAAUUAACAGAUACAUCUCUAUUCUGUUCAGAAUCAUGUCUGCCCCUUUUCGUAUUGCACUAAAUAAUUUAUCUCUAUAAUAUAAACUUAUUUUUCAAUUAAAGAACCAUGAAGACAUACUCAUCAAGGAACAAAGCAACCAACCAAAUUAAAUCAACAAACCAACCACGAA
This 280-nucleotide unclassified non-coding RNA is filed under the name Hevea brasiliensis (rubber tree). The record is from RNAcentral. Lineage: Eukaryota; Viridiplantae; Streptophyta; Magnoliopsida; Malpighiales; Euphorbiaceae.